ACCUUAAUGAAACUCUUCACUCCUAGAUCUCAAGCCCUCUUCCCUCUUAGAAUUCAAGCCCUCCUCACUCUUGUCAGUACAAAGCAACAGACAUAAUUCACUCUUGUCAAUAUUUCGCAACAGAGAUCAUUCACUCUUGUCAAUAUUUAGCAACAGAGAUCAGCAAUUAGAAAAUCGGUGGCUAUCAUGUUGAACAACACUCGAUGACUUAUAACACAUAUCGUCUGAGCAUACAUGGUAGUAAUCUCCUUGCUGAAGAUAUCAUAUUAAUUUUUAUUUAUCAAUGCCUGUGUGCGAAGCCUAAAGGUCGAUGCUGAGUCUGCGAACAAGUAGCCAGCUAGAUCAAUUGCUAUGUUACCGAUAAUUGAACGGUCGUCUGUACACGACUUGAGUAGCUACGUUGACUUUGGGUGUAAGCGAACAGCACCAACUCGGAGUCCUCAUUCUAUCCCGACCAUCGGCUCGCUGCAUUCCGAACUCCCUAGCGGAUUAAUCCAUCCAGCCAUGCCA
RNAcentral lists this long non-coding RNA (510 nucleotides) under Physcomitrium patens. RNAcentral describes it as "long non-coding RNA (PPAT_LNC008954)". Lineage: Eukaryota; Viridiplantae; Streptophyta; Bryopsida; Funariales; Funariaceae. The record is from RNAcentral.